RNAcentral lists this small RNA (567 nucleotides) under Pan troglodytes (chimpanzee). RNAcentral's name for it is "processed transcript". The record is from RNAcentral. Lineage: Eukaryota; Metazoa; Chordata; Mammalia; Primates; Hominidae.
ACCGUUAGGCGCACGACGCGGGCAAAGGCGGGGUGCCUGUGGGUGCCCGCGGAGGAAGUGGCAUCCGGGCCUGGGCUGGGCAGGGCUGCCCCGCCCCAACUCCGGGCAUCCGGUCUUGGGAUGUCGAUCCUGGCGUCUGCAACCUUGAUGAACAGCUCAAGGUCUUUGUGUCCCGACACUCUGCCACCUUCUCCAGCAUUGUGAAAGGCCAGCGGAGCCUGCACCACCGUGGAGACAACCUGGAGACCCUGGUCCUCCUGAACCCAUCAGACAAGUCCCUGUGUGAUGAGCUCCGGAACCUUCUGUUGGACCCUGCCUCUCACAAGCUACUGGUGUUGGCUGGGCCCUGCCUGGAGGAGACGGGGGAGCUGCUGCUACAGACAGGGGGCUUCUCGCCUCACCACUUCCUCCAGGUCCUGAAGGACAGAGAGAUCCGGGACAUCCUGGCCACCACGCCCCCACCUGUGCAGCCGCCCAUACUCACCAUCACCUGCCCCACCUUCGGUGACUGGGCUCAGCUGGCACCCGCUGUGCCCGGCCUUCAGGGGGCGCUCCGGCUCCAGCUGC